UUUGUUACUGAUUUCUUCUGUCCUUGUUUUAGUCUGGACAACUAAAUCAGUUAUUGACUAUAAGAAAUGUCUACUGUCCAAUUUAGUUAUGCAGUGGAAAGGGAAAAUGAUUUCUAUUGGUCACUUCUAAUUAAUGACAAGCUUCACUAAAAAAUAAGGAUUCAUAGCCUAGACCCAGUUUUUUUACCUUUAAGAAUGUUUGUUGUUAAUUAUUUUUAUAUCAGAAUUUGAUUUGUUUGAAGGUUACAUGAUAUUUUCUAAUUAGAAGUUAUUAUUCAGUAAGACGCAUAUUAGUUGUUUUGGUUGCUUUUUAAGUAAAUUUAGGAAUUAGUAUGGUUUUGAUAUUUUUGUCUGACUGACUGAAUAAGUUUUUAGCUUACCUUGCUCAGUAUUGCUGAUCAUAAUAAGCAAGUAUUUUGACAUCUUUAGAAGCUAAGUAUUUGUUUUAUUGGAAGUACAGACUCCAAACCAAUCAACAUUUUGUGUCUUGUUUCUAUAAGGUUGUAUUUUUGCUGGCAAGACAUAAGCACAUGACUUCCAUUUUAUUUUUUAAGCAGUUUUGUCUGGACGCACAAUAUCUGAGGGCAGUUGAAAGUAGCACAAGGUUAUAAAAGCACCCAUUUUGGAGAGGCUGCCAUAUUGACUGUACUGAUGUAAAGCUUUUGUGAAACGUUGUAAAUCUAUUUUAUGUUAUCCAUCACAGUCAUUUCACUUCUAUUUGUAAUUUGGUAGUUUAGACAUUAAGGAGAGUUCGUCAUAUUUGUCAGUGAAGUAAGAUCAUCACUUUUCAGUUAUAUGUCAUCAAAUCAAACCAAAUGUGGGAAACAUUCUCCACCUGGCAUCUAGAGGAAAGGGAGCUCCUCCACUAAUUGCUCUGCUAAGCCCUGUGGUAGGUUGGGGAAAGGCCCACAAGUAGGGUAGAAUUUAAUGCCUACUCCAGUCUUUUCUCUGAUGUAACAAAACAACUGGAAAUAAAGGAGUGAUCAAGAGAAGUUGUCCAGAAGCCUGAUGUCUGCAGCAAAAGGAGGGUUUGACACUUGAAAUACUGCAAAGGCAGAAUUCCAGAUGGCCAUUUUUUAAUAAGAAAUGAAAGUACACUCAUUUUUAUCAAGUGGUGUCACCAGUUAUUAUCAGUUACAAUUUGCUGACUGCAAAGUGGAUCUUGAAUAAACUGAAGGCAUGGUUCAUGUCCCCAUAAAGAGUAAGUAAUAAAUACCACUUGAACAAUGAACCACCAGUGUAGUUUAACAGUUUGUUACCCGCUGGGCAGCCAGUGCAUGGUGCUCUGCUUCCUGAUGUGUUGAAGUGUGAGGCAUAGCCCCUGCCUCCAGUUUGCUUUGCCAUCAUAUUCUUAACAAGACAAAUCUUAGUCACAGAUUUUCCUGAUUUAGGGCUAGUUUUCUGCUCCUGAAACUCCUCCCUUUAGUCUUUAUUGGACAUUGAAAAAAAAAACAACUGGUUUUUUAAGUGGCCCUUACACAUUUCAGGAAAAGAUACUGAAGGGUAAACUAAGAAAUGUGCCAUCUUUGUUUAGGAAAGUGCCCAAAUCCACAUUAAGUAUAUUUAAU
Long non-coding RNA from Manis pentadactyla (Chinese pangolin), 1568 nucleotides. RefSeq lists it as uncharacterized. The record is from RefSeq and is a predicted model, not a curated record. The transcript is spliced from 3 exons. Lineage: Eukaryota; Metazoa; Chordata; Mammalia; Pholidota; Manidae.